Leopardus geoffroyi (Geoffroy's cat) is the source of this 1738-nucleotide long non-coding RNA. RefSeq lists it as uncharacterized. The record is from RefSeq and is a predicted model, not a curated record. The transcript has 2 exons. Lineage: Eukaryota; Metazoa; Chordata; Mammalia; Carnivora; Felidae.
CUUCGAGUUAAUCUCAGCAUCGGGAUAGCCUCAUUUGCUUCAAUAUUCUGGAAUCUGUUGCAUCAUUUUCCGUUUCUCUCGCAACCGACAUUUCUAGGCUCAGCCUGCCUCUGCCACUGAGGGGAUAGUCCUAGGAAAGGGCUCCUUUUCUGCAUUAAAACUGGAAACAAACUGCAGUUGGCAAGAAUACCGGGGCAGAAAACUGAAACGACUCUGCACUGCUUCUAAGACACAAAUACACCCCCUCUGCCCUGCUGUCAGCACGCCUGCAUUCCAAGCUGUUCUCAUGGGGAUGGUGUUGGAGCUGUGUCCAGCCUCCCAGGACAUCUGGACUGAUUCCCAUCGUGGCCAGUGGCACAAGGGAUGGACUGCUGUCCAGGAUACACUCCACGACAGUGAGACCACACGUUACGGAAACAUCUUUUGGGGAGAUGUUUCAUCACCCUCCCAAACUGGGACCUUUAGUUUCAUCAGGUUCAUGGAGAAAGGAACUCAGUUAGACUCUGGUUGAAAAGGAGGACUUGCUUUCUACUUUUCAACAGACAUCACAGUAUUACGGAAAGGUAAUGUGCUUAGGAGUCAGAGGGAAGUUCAAAGUGCAAACAUGGGACAAAACAAAACACCAAAAUAACUCCCGAGUUUCUGCUUCCAGUUUUCUAGAUGGUAAUACCCCAAAACAUUAAGUCACCAUUCCUGAAUCCAUCAGGAAAUCACCUCACGCCAUAUCUGGCACAAAGUAAAUCAUCAAUGAACAUCAGCGUCCUUCAUAAAGCCCUCAAGUGCACAUGAUAGAGAUCCAUUCCAGACGCAUAUUUAAGCAAUUUGCUACUUGGCCUGUUGGCAGCUAUUAGGUCCAAAAGAGAAACCACUCUGUGCUGACAAUUAGGGGAACAAAGACUUUGAGGUAGAAUCUCCCUGUUCCAAAAAAUACUAAUUAUCAGCCACCACUUCCUAAUUUUGAAAACAGAUCGGCAGGCCAGAUGGGUUUCUUAGAUGUAUCUUUAUGGGUUGGCAUGGUGGAUACUGUGGAUACACUCCCUUCGCACACAGUCUAACCCCCUCACACAUGCUUUCCUCUAAUUCAGUUUGCAAGGCUAACCACCACAUUUCCCAGAUUCCUUAAAGUUGGCAUUUUAUGCAUGAUAUAAAUUGCAAUAAUCAGAUGCAUCAUAUGAGACUUAAAGUCAAGUUACAUGGCAUCUCACAUUGGGUUCCCUGAAAACACAUUCUUAGGCAAAGAUUUGCAUACAGUAGAUUUAUCAGGGAGUGUUUCAAGUACAACAAGUACAACACCUGGAAGGAAAAGAAGGAAGCAGGAUGACAGAGUUGGAAAAAGUUGAACUGCAAUGUCGUUGCAAAAGAGACUUCAACCAACACCACAGGGUGCUCUGUGCUGGGAAAGCUAUUCAGAGGUGUCCCCAGUGGAGGCAGAUAGGACCAGUAUAUUAUAUCAUGUAUCUAUGGGUCACUGUAUGCGGGCUGCACCCCAGGACAAGCCAUACCUUGGACAAAGAUGGGCAGAACCACCAGCAGUCAACUCUCCUGGAAGCUGGGAGAAUGAGUGCCUGGAUCUUGAAGGUGCAAUGUAGAUAGCCUGCCAAAGAUCCCCAAGGCCCACUGUGGAGCACCCCCUUUGCUGCUCAGACCCACUUGCUUAUCCCAUAUUUACCCCAUCAGCGUCUCCAGGAUUCUAGUGGGCCUCAUUUCCUGAGCAAAUUUAUAAAAGAGGUUGAUCACA